GCUAUGCCAAGUAAAUAUUCCUAAAUCAAAUCCGGCCAUCUCAAACCAUAUAUUCAAGUUUGAUUAGCAAAAGAUAAGAUUUUAAAUUAAAAUAUCCCCUUUUAAUAAUUCACUACACAUGCGCAUACUGUUCUCAACACUUCCAUCAGAAAAAAAUCCCAAUCAUCCUUAUCCAAAACUUAAUCACAUGACGGUCGGCGGUGGCGCUGGUAGUGCCGGCGGAGUUACCUCCGGCAAAAAACGACACCGUGUUGGUAGCAAUAGUCGACUUUCUUCAACUAUCGGAAUAAUCGACUCUUCUCGUCCCGAUAAUACCCUUACGGAACGGACUCAAAAACCGUCAAGCAUUCGCCGUACAUCGUCUUACACCGUUAUAACUGCUACCGGUGGAUUUAACGAUUCAUCCACGGCUGACGUCAUGCUCCGUUUAUUCAUCGAUCAAUUACCGUUAUUCGAUACGGAUGAUUCCGAAUCGAUCUCAGCCGUUGAUUCAUCUCAAUCUGAUGUCCAGAUCUAUCUUCACUCAAAUGUUCUUCGUCGUUGUAAGUAUUUCGAUGCUCUCUUAUCUGAUCGCUGGCAAAAGGAAUCAAACGACGUCGUUGAUUCAGGAAACUCUUCUAGAAUGUUCCGAAAGCUUAAUCUCGGUGUUCCUUCACAUACUGGAUCAAUUGAUCAUCAUUUAACUGUUCUUCAGCUCUUAUAUACAAAUGAUUUUUCGAUUACUAUAAACAGUGUUUCGAUAGCUUUGUGUUUACUUCCUGUGGCUUUGGAAUUAAUAUUUGAGGAUUGUAUUAAGGCUUGUGUGAGGUUUAUUGAGGCUGUUCCAUGGACUGAAGAUGAAGAAAGAAAAAUACUCAGUAUCGUUCCGUUGUUAGGUAAAGAGGAAUCUGAAGAGCUUCUAGCUAGGGUUUCGAUUGAUAGGAACGAUGCGUCUGGAGAAAUGCUUCAUGGAUUGAUAUUAUCAGCACUUCAUAAUCAUCCUAACAUGGCAUUUGCUAAGGCAUUUGUAGCUAAGCUUAUGAGGGAUUUUUCGUCUAAACAGACAGCGAAGAGAGUGUUGGAUCGCGCUUUUUAUAGUAGCUUGAAGAUUGUGAAGGAAUCGUUGGAGGAUUAUUCGAGUCCUGAUUUUAGAGGUGAUCAUAAUGAGACUGAGGCGAUUCAGAGGUUGAAUUUGCAUACUGCAAUGACGAAUGGGAGGCAUUUGUUGUGGUUGGUUGAGAGGAUGGUUGAACUGAGAGUUGCGGAUACUGCUGUACAAGAGUGGAGUAAUCAGGCGUCGUUUACUGCUGAUUUGCUGAGGGCUCUAAGGGAUGAUGCGUGGAGGAAUAUCGUUCCGGGACUCCCUGCAGUUGUGCUUCGAUGCACUUGCAAGCUUUCUAAUGCAAUCACCACGGGAACUAUCUUGGCUACUAGACAGGUCCGUUUUUCGUUUUCUCAAUUUUACAGUUGAUUAUUUCUAGUAUAUGUAAUUGCUAAACAUAGAGCCUAGGGAAUAACAACAACAACAACAACAACAUACCCUCCGACAGGUGGGUUUGGGGAGGGUAGAGUAGCAUUUCCCAGGUCAUCUGCUGCAAACUAGAAUAUUCAAUUUGUCCCGCCUUUUACUUAUUAAAUAGAUGAAGCAGAUGAGCUUACAAAGAAAAUGUUACCCCUUUAUCAGUUACUAAUCUUAAAAGACAAAGUUACCCGUUAUUGAUCACUAAUACAACAACAAUAACAUGCCUAGUGUAAUCCCACAAGUGGGGGGUCUGGGGAGGGCAAGAUGUACGCAGACCUUACCUCUACCUUUGUUGUGGGGUAGAGAGGCUAUUUCCGGUAGACCCUCGGCUGAUCACUAAUUUCAAGUGCAAGAACAAGUUAAAAAAAAAAAUUGACUCAUAGUGAAACAAGUGUUGUUCUUGAAGGCAUACCUUAAAGCCAAGUAGAGGUGAAUCUAGGAUUUCUAGAACAUAUGUGCACCACUUAAAAAAGAAGGAAAAAGAAGUAGCAAGUGGGAAUUGAUCCCUAAU
Lycium ferocissimum is the source of this 2012-nucleotide RNA transcript. It is a transcript of the gene named BTB/POZ domain-containing protein At3g05675-like, with no coding region annotated. The transcript has 2 exons. NCBI's taxonomy places the organism in Eukaryota, Viridiplantae, Streptophyta, Magnoliopsida, Solanales, Solanaceae. The record is from RefSeq and is a predicted model, not a curated record.